UCAAGAAGUUAAUUGAUUUGGGACCAAAUGUUGAUCAGAGGGUUCAAGGUUUCAAGAUUAUUCUAACACUUAGGGAGAUGAAGAUCUAGGCGGAAAUUAAUGGGGAUUUGUGACAGAGUUGCCAAAACCAUUGUUUAAGUAGUCAAAUUUGAGGAAUGAUUAAUUACUCUACAGCUCGAUUAGAUGAGGAAGAACCUCAAAGGCCAGUUUUGGAAACAGAUUUGUGAAGAAGAAACUUAAUAAUUCAGAUUCGAGUUUCUCCUCAUCUGGUUCAACAAUUACUUCUUUAAACAAGAUAGGGGAUCAAGUUCUGUGAUGCUACAACUGAAGAGACCAGUUUUAAAACGGAAUAACUAUUUCAUGAUGAUGAACGUAGAUGUCAAGAGAUCAAUAAUGCUGCAUUUGAGACAAAAGUUGAAGUCAAAGUCAAAGUCAGCAACUAGAGAAACAAUUGUUUACCAUUUAGCCUUCAUGCCUUGUGGUCUCCCCUCAAUCCUCUGCCAAAGAUAGGAAAGAGGUAAAAAUUUGACAGGUUAUCCAGUAGAUGUCGAGAACAGGACUGGUCAAAAUGGUCAAAAGUCUGUGAUUCUUUCUGUUGAUAAUGGGUGAGAAACAAAUAUCGUUUGGUUAAUGGGUACAAAUGCUUGAUCAAGACCGUUGUGUAGUCUCGCUUUUAAUGGUCAAAAGUUCCAAAUAUCGAACCUUUGCAGUUUUCUAUGUCAUGCGAUGAGGGUCUCCUCUGAAUAGGUUGGAUUCUCCCUUAUGCUUAUAUUCCUCCAUAUUGCAAUCCAUUUUCAGGUUAUGCAGCAAAUAUGAUACAUUAGUGGAACGGCUUCUUCAUGAGGUGAUUAAUGAGAAGUUUUGGCAGCAUCUAGAAGAAAAAGAAGUAGAAAUCAGUGAAGAAACAUAAAAUGUCGACGAUCAGCGUUCCGGCACAUGAUAUCUCCGUCUCCUCUGAUGGCGUCGAACAACUCCGUAAAGCCUUCUCAGCGUUGAUGUGGUCGCCGGACUGAUUAUUCACCGGGUUGAAGGAUGUCAGUUCAUUACCUGCAACCUUCCCUGCAGCCAUGAUGGUA
Molecule: long non-coding RNA, 1076 nt
Filed under: Helianthus annuus (common sunflower)
Lineage: Eukaryota; Viridiplantae; Streptophyta; Magnoliopsida; Asterales; Asteraceae
Source: RNAcentral